This 1235-nucleotide ribosomal RNA is filed under the name metagenome. RNAcentral's name for it is "bacterial LSU rRNA". It matches the Rfam family "Bacterial large subunit ribosomal RNA", at positions 1564 to 2808 of the family's 2925-position model. The record is from RNAcentral.
UGAGUACGAGAUGCUACGGCAUCGAAGCAGUCUAUGUCAUACUUCCAAGAAAAGCUUGCACUGUCAUAAACAAAUAAUGCCUGAACCAUAACCGACACAGGUGGGUAGGUAGAGUAUACUAAGGGGCGCGAGAUAACUCUCUCUAAGGAACUCGGCAAAAUGACUCCGUAACUUCGGGAGAAGGAGUGCCUUAUUUUAUAAGGUUGCAAUAACAAGAUCCAAGCAACUGUUUACCAAAAACACAGGUCUCCGCUAAGUCGUAAGACGAUGUAUGGGGGCUGACGCCUGCCCAGUGCCAGAAGGUUAAAGAAGUUGGUUAGCAUUAGCGAAGCUGAUAACUGAAGCCCUGGUGAACGGCGGCCGUAACGAUAACGGUCCUAAGGUAGCGAAAUUCCCUGUCGGGUAAGUUCCGACCCGCACGAAAGGCGUAAUGAUUUGGAUACUGUCUCGGAGAGGGGCUCGGUGAAAUAGACUUGUCUGUGAAGAUGCGGACUACCUGCACCAGGACAGAAAGACCCUAUGAAGCUUUACUGUAACUUGAGAUUGAAAUUGGACUUUAUUUGCGCAGUAUAGGUGGGAGACGUUGAAAAUAUUCUUGCGGGAAUAUUGGAGUCAUCAGUGAGAUACCACUCUUAUAAUGUUAGAUUUCUAACUUUGUAUCAUUAUCUGGUCAAAGAACAGUCUCAGGCGGGCAGUUUGACUGGGGCGGUCGCCUCCCAAACGGUAACGGAGGCGCACAAAGGUUUCCUCUGAACGUGUAGAAAUCGUAUCUAGAGUGUAAAGGCAUAAGGAGGCUUGACUGUGAGACCUACAAGUCGAGCAGGGACGAAAGUCGGUCUUAGUGAUCUGACGGUGCUGAGUGGAAAGGCCGUCACUCAACGGAUAAAAGUUACUCUAGGAUAACAGGCUGAUCUCCCCCAAGAGUUCACAUCGACGGGGAGGUUUGGCACCUCGAUGUCGGCUCAUCGCAUCCUGGGGCGGUAGUACGUCCCAAGGGUUGGGCUGUUCGCCCAUGAAAGCGGUACGCGAGCUGGGUUCAGAACGUCGUGAGACAGUUCGGUCCAUAUCCGGUGUAGGCGUUAGAAUAUUGAGAGGAGCCUUCUUUAGUACGAGAGGACCGAGAAGGACAUACCUCUGGUGUACCAGUUAUCGUGCCAACGGUAAACGCUGGGUAGCUAUGUAUGGAGAGGAUAACCGCUGAAAGCAUCUAAGUGGGAAGCCCACCUCAAGAUAAG